This 434-nucleotide ribosomal RNA is filed under the name uncultured bacterium. RNAcentral's name for it is "partial 16S ribosomal RNA". It matches the Rfam family "Bacterial small subunit ribosomal RNA", at positions 29 to 507 of the family's 1533-position model. The record is from RNAcentral.
AGCGAACGCUGGCGGCAGGCCUAACACAUGCAAGUCGAACGAACCUUUCGGGGUUAGUGGCGGACGGGUGAGUAACACGUGGGAACGUGCCUUUAGGUUCGGAAUAACUCAGGGAAACUUGUGCUAAUACCGAAUGUGCCCUUCGGGGGAAAGAUUUAUCGCCUUUAGAGCGGCCCGCGUCUUAUUAGCUAGUUGGUUGAGGUAAUGGCUCACCAAGGCGACGAUCAGUAGCUGGUCUGAGAGGAUGAUCAGCCACAUUGGGACUGAGACACGGCCCAAACUCCUACGGGAGGCAGCAGUGGGGAAUCUUGCGCAAUGGGCGAAAGCCUGACGCAGCCAUGCCGCGUGAAUGAUGAAGGUCUUAGGAUUGUAAAAUUCUUUCACCGGGGACGAUAAUGACGGUACCCGGAGAAGAAGCCCCGGCUAACUUCGUG